AUUGAACGCUGGCGGCAGGCCUAACACAUGCAAGUCGAACGGUAGCACAGAGGAGCUUGCUCCUUGGGUGACGAGUGGCGGACGGGUGAGUAAUGUCUGGGAAACUGCCCGAUGGAGGGGGAUAACUACUGGAAACGGUAGCUAAUACCGCAUAACGUCGCAAGACCAAAGAGGGGGACCUUCGGGCCUCUUGCCAUCGGAUGUGCCCAGAUGGGAUUAGCUAGUAGGUGGGGUAACGGCUCACCUAGGCGACGAUCCCUAGCUGGUCUGAGAGGAUGACCAGCCACACUGGAACUGAGACACGGUCCAGACUCCUACGGGAGGCAGCAGUGGGGAAUAUUGCACAAUGGGCGCAAGCCUGAUGCAGCCAUGCCGCGUGUAUGAAGAAGGCCUUCGGGUUGUAAAGUACUUUCAGCGAGGAGGAAGGCGUUGUGGCUAAUAACCGCAACGAUUGGGACGUUACUCGCA
Molecule: ribosomal RNA, 468 nt
Filed under: uncultured Enterobacterales bacterium
Lineage: Bacteria; Pseudomonadati; Pseudomonadota; Gammaproteobacteria; Enterobacterales
Description: bacterial SSU rRNA
Rfam family: Bacterial small subunit ribosomal RNA
Source: RNAcentral